This 301-nucleotide ribosomal RNA is filed under the name uncultured bacterium. RNAcentral's name for it is "partial 16S ribosomal RNA". It matches the Rfam family "Bacterial small subunit ribosomal RNA", at positions 509 to 809 of the family's 1533-position model. The record is from RNAcentral.
CAGUAGCCACGGUAAUACAGAGGAUGCAAGCGUUGUCCGGAAUUAUUGGGCGUAAAGGGCUCGCAGGCGGUUUCUUAAGUCUGAUGUGAAAGCCCCCGGCUCAACCGGGGAGGGUCAUUGGAAACUGGGAAACUUGAGUGCAGAAGAGGAGAGUGGAAUUCCACGUGCAGCGGUGAAAUGCGUAGAGAUGUGGAGGAACACCAGUGGCGAAGGCGACUCUCUGGUCUGUAACUGACGCUGAGGAGCGAAAGCGUGGGGAGCGAACAGGAUUAGAUACCCCUGUAGUCCCUGUCUCUUAUAA